This 1109-nucleotide long non-coding RNA is filed under the name Pogona vitticeps (central bearded dragon). RNAcentral describes it as "lncRNA (ENSPVIG00000021930.1)". Lineage: Eukaryota; Metazoa; Chordata; Lepidosauria; Squamata; Agamidae. The record is from RNAcentral.
UAUUCACCCUUGAGCUUUCGCAGCUGUGCACAGCAACACAGAAAGUCACAGUAUACUUUUAUAGUCUAAUUAAAAGAAGGGGGGAAAUGUGUAGAGGGAGAAGAAAUGAACAAGGUUGCACGAAAACUGUUGCUUUAUCAGUUGAGAGGUUUUAAGUAAGCAAUGGGGUGGCAGAGGAAUUGAACCGGACGGUAGGGGGGACGGUUGAUCUUAAAUUCUUGUGCUCUGCCCAUUGUUCCAGGAUUUGAUGGGGAAAAAAUUAAGCAGAAUUCUGCAAAUGAGACAAAUUUUGCAAAACAAUGUCUUUAUAGCUUAAGCUUUUAAGUAUUAGAAGUUUUUGGGGUGGUUUGCAUCUUUUUAAACACAGCCCACAUGGAUUUACUGUGAUUUUCAAAGGGAAAGGAAUACCCAUUUUAUGCCGAGGAUUUGUACAAAUUAUGGAGGCCCUGAUGAGAAAAAAAAUAUGUUUGCAUUUGCUCAGAAUUGAUGGUGAUAGUUAACAUCAUUUUAGGGUGCUGUCAAGUCAAGUCGGAUUUACAGUGAUCUUUUUCAGAGUUUUAUAGGUAGAAAUCACUCAGAAGCAGUUUGCCAUUCCCUUCUCCUGGGACUGUGCAGCCACAAAGAUGCACAAUGGUGAACUGAGCUCCAAAAUUCCUUAUUGAGGCAUCUCAUCAAAGAAGGACAGCCUAGAGAGCCAAGAACAAAGACUUUAGAGAGUAUUGUUUACGUCCCUAAUACCUAUAAAUUAGCAAUUUGUUGCUAUUAUUAUGGAAAUCUGGGUCUUCUGCAUUUUCAGUGACUACUGUAAGUGACCACUGCAAUGAUACCAACGCAGUGACAGGCACCAUGUUUUACCAUAUUCCUAAACUCGGCCUGAGGAUUGCAUGUGAUGAUGAGAUGCAAAUGUUCAUUGACUAUGUAAUGAUGAGCAUUAGAUGGUAUUGAAGUCACCCCGUUUUGAAUUGAUCAUUGCAAUUUCUCAGCCACCAAGCUUAAGAUGCCCCGUUUUCCUUGCUGCAGAUGAUGAUACCUGGAGAACUGACCAAGAGCGGAGAAAUAAAGGAGAGCUGUAUCCCCUUCAUUCCUCAGGUUUAAGUGAUAGUUGUCCA